Molecule: ribosomal RNA, 423 nt
Filed under: uncultured bacterium
Lineage: Bacteria
Description: bacterial SSU rRNA
Rfam family: Bacterial small subunit ribosomal RNA
Source: RNAcentral
UGGGGAAUAUUGCACAAUGGGCGCAAGCCUGAUGCAGCGAUGCCGCGUGAGGGAAGAAGGUUUUCGGAUUGUAAACCUCUGUCAUCAGGGACGAAAAAAGACGGUACCUGAGAAGGAAGCUCCGGCUAACUACGUGCCAGCAGCCGCGGUAAUACGUAGGGGGCGAGCGUUGUCCGGAAUGAUUGGGCGUAAAGGGCGCGUAGGCGGCCUGCUAAGUCUGGAGUGAAAGUCCUGCUUUCAAGGUGGGAAUUGCUUUGGAUACUGGUAGGCUGGAGUGCAGGAGAGGAAAGCGGAAUUACCGGUGUAGCGGUGAAAUGCGUAGAGAUCGGUAGGAACACCAGUGGCGAAGGCGGCUUUCUGGACUGUAACUGACGCUGAGGCGCGAAAGCGUGGGGAGCAAACAGGAUUAGAUACCCUGGUAGU